AACGAACGCUGGCGGCAGGCCUAACACAUGCAAGUCGAGCGAGGACUUCGGUCCUAGCGGCGGACGGGUGAGUAACGCGUGGGAACGUGCCCUUUGCUUCGGAAUAGCCCUGGGAAACUGGGAGUAAUACCGGAUGAGCCCUUUGGGGGAAAGAUUUAUCGGCGAAGGAUCGGCCCGCGUUGGAUUAGGUAGUUGGUGGGGUAAUGGCCUACCAAGCCGACGAUCCAUAGCUGGUUUGAGAGGAUGAUCAGCCACACUGGGACUGAGACACGGCCCAGACUCCUACGGGAGGCAGCAGUGGGGAAUCUUAGACAAUGGGGGAAACCCUGAUCUAGCCAUGCCGCGUGAGCGAUGAAGGCCUUAGGGUUGUAAAGCUCUUUCAGCUGGGAAAAUAAUGACGGUACCAGCAGAAGAAGCCCCGGCUAACUCCGUG
This 433-nucleotide ribosomal RNA is filed under the name uncultured bacterium. RNAcentral's name for it is "partial 16S ribosomal RNA". It matches the Rfam family "Bacterial small subunit ribosomal RNA", at positions 29 to 507 of the family's 1533-position model. The record is from RNAcentral.